Manduca sexta (tobacco hornworm) is the source of this 1083-nucleotide long non-coding RNA. RefSeq lists it as uncharacterized. The transcript is spliced from 2 exons. The record is from RefSeq and is a predicted model, not a curated record. NCBI's taxonomy places the organism in Eukaryota, Metazoa, Arthropoda, Insecta, Lepidoptera, Sphingidae.
CUCUCUUUUCUUCAGUUUAUAGAGUUUUCGAGUCUGUGUAAUGAUACUAGAGAGCUGCAGCUGUGCAUUCCGAGUCCCACCACGGAGGCAUUGGGAUCUUCCUAAAUGAAUGAUUAUUUUUACUGGGAAAGCAUCAUCUGCAGCGGAAACAAGAAUUUUAGCUAAUACUUCUGCACAAUCCUGCUCAUUUCCAUUAUUGACAAUUGGAAGAGAAGAUAGCUGAUUGUCAACAUAAUUUUUAUAAUUUAGCCAAGUGCUGCUCUUACUAUGUGGAAGUUUGUGUUUUAAGUGAGAUAUUCUAGGUUGUGAAUGUGGGAUUGGGAAUGGAAAAGAUAUUUUGAUAGGGAAAUGAUCACUACCAUAUGUUAAGGGAAGGGUGCACCAAGUGAGACGAGAAGCAAAGUUAGGAGUGCAGACAGAUAAAUCUAUUGCGCUAUUGUUCUGACUUGGAUCACUGCGACGUGUGGGGGAACCAGAAUUUAAUAUACAUAAAUUAUGUGUAUCAAAUAUAUUGAGUAGUUCUUCCCCAUAGGAGUUAGAAGUUGAACUACCCCAUGACUGGUGAUGGCAGUUAAAAUCACCUAACAGUAUAUAAGGAUUAGUAAGUGUGGAAAGAAUACUGUUAAUUUCAUUAAGUGAAGAAUGAGAAGGGUGAGAUAUAUAUACAGAUAUAAUACAUGUUUUAUUUAUAAUUAUAGCUAUGAUUGAGAUUUCUUCACUGUGUGAUGGUAGAGAAACCACAGUGAAAGGAAUUGAAUCCUUCACAAGUAUAGCUACUCCACCAUAUCCAUCUGGUCUAUCCUCUCUUACUGUUGUAUAACCAUUAAUUUUAAAUAUAUUAUUUGAUUUGAACCAUGUUUCACACAAGGCAAAAACUAAAGGUUCGUAUUUAUUUAUUAAAUAAAUAAUAUCACUUUUUUAUUUAUUGCGCUGCGGCAAUUCCAUUGGAUUAAAUGAACUUGAUUGUCCAUUUUGGGGUGAUAUCGAAGAAAUGAGACUAUGAAGUGAAGCAGCGUUGGACGGUGAUAUGUUAAAUGAGGAUAAAAGGUUAAUUAAUGCCGUAAUAAAUUCCAUGAUAUUGAA